UACGGAGGGGGCAAGCGUUGUUCGGAAUUACUGGGCGUAAAGGGCGCGUAGGCGGCCGCCUAAGUCAGACGUGAAAUCCCUCGGCUCAACCGGGGAACUGCGUCUGAUACUGGGUGGCUUGAAUCCGGGAGAGGGAUGCGGAAUUCCAGGUGUAGCGGUGAAAUGCGUAGAUAUCUGGAGGAACACCGGUGGCGAAGGCGGCACCCUGGACCGGCAUUGACGCUGAGGCGCGAAAGCCAGGGGAGCAAACGGG
This 253-nucleotide ribosomal RNA is filed under the name uncultured bacterium. Its description in RNAcentral is "partial 16S ribosomal RNA". It matches the Rfam family "Bacterial small subunit ribosomal RNA", at positions 524 to 776 of the family's 1533-position model. The record is from RNAcentral.